UUUCCCAAGUAAGUCAGAGGUUGAAUGAGUAUCCCAAAGGGAGAGAAACAACCGCCAUCAAUGAUAACCUCAGGGUGCAAGUCUAUCCCUACUGGGCUUGCUCCAGGGAAUCAGCCUCUUUGAACUGACCAAGAUGAAAACCACAAAACAGGCCACAGCAGGCAGGAAGGGGUUGGCCGGUCUAAUAAUCUCAUAAUAAUGAGUCUGCACAAUCCAAACUUGAUAAAACCUUGAAUAAUUGAGGACAGACUGCAAUUAUGAGAAUUACUCCUAUCUGGACAGCACUUCCAGUCUGCAGAGCUCUACCAUGGGCAUCAUUUCAUCUGGGGGACCCGGUAAAUAUGUGUUGAAGGACCGACCUUGCAACAGUCUCUUGGAUCCUGGUUUACCUGCUGAGGAAGCCGAGGCUCCGAGAGGUGAAUGAAAUUGCUAGACAAAGCAGCAGGACCCUUUGUCAGAAGGUAAUCCUGUGUGGAACCGCAGUUGAUAAAACCGAGCAAGGAGGAGCUGCCCUCGCAGCAGAGGGCCCCACCCAGCAGCCAUCACCUCUUCCCUUCUCGCCUUUGCUCUCUCCGUCAUCUCUUUCUGCAACCCUACGGUUCCUCAGAAUCCAGUUUGAAAAACCACUGUCCUUGUUCAACUCCUGUCUCUCCUUAUUCCACGUGAAAAAACAGAGAUCUGGAGAAGCUAAGUGAUGUGUCCAGUGUCAAAAAAGCCAACGAGUGAUAGAGGCAGAACCAAGAAUCAGGCUUCCUGUUGUGCAGGUCAAGGACUUUGGCUGGGCCAGGGCAGCCCUCCCUGCUCUGAACUAUACUCUGCAGAUGGUCUGCAGAUGAUGUAGAUAUUAUCACGUACAGAUCCAGAGAAAUGAAGAUAAAGGAAAAUGCCGUGACGGCCCCUCUGGUCCCCCUGGCCUGGCAGGGGAAGGAGAAACACCGGAGAAGGGUACAUCGCUCUGCCUAGGAGGACGUUUGAGCUCUGCUCCCCGGAACCCCGCGCCCGAGGGAGGCUGGAUAAGGAAAUCGAGGCUCAGACCUUUAGCAACUGUCCCUGUCCCAAGAUCAUGGGUCCAUUAACAACAGAACCAGCUUUCAGUCUUAGCUCCGCCAAACACCUGCCGCCUUCAGUACAUGCUGACGCCAGCCCAGCUUCAAUUCUGCCCAGAAAUCUAUUCUUCAGAGGACUAAAAAGAACCAAGAAAAGGAA
This is a long non-coding RNA of Canis lupus familiaris (dog), 1206 nucleotides long. RefSeq lists it as uncharacterized. The record is from RefSeq and is a predicted model, not a curated record. NCBI's taxonomy places the organism in Eukaryota, Metazoa, Chordata, Mammalia, Carnivora, Canidae. The transcript has 4 exons.